UGUGAUUCCAAACCUCCACCUAUAAGCUUAGCUACACGGAUAUUUUCUAUAUUAAAAUAAGUAGGGUUGUUAGGUAAUGUUAAAAGAACAGCUUCUGCUACUAAAUUAGCGAUUGUCUCCGAAGAUGCUAAAAUGUUCAAUAAGCUAUCGCUGUAUGUACCCCUUUUUUUAAUUCAUCAAGUUGUCGAAGAUCCGUAACACGGUUGGAAAAAUUACAAGUUAAAAAACACUACCUUCUAAAAGAGCCAAUGAUUUAUUUAAAGCGAGCUGGUACCCUUUUACUAUAUCUGAAACACUAAGUCCUUGACGUAAAAGUGUUUCCGCUUGAUAAAGUAAUUCUCCUCCAAACGUUGUGACAAAAUUUGUAACGUCACCGAAUUCUUGAUCCUGUAUACAAAUAAUGUAUUACAGCUUAGUGCUAUUGGGUUAAAUGAAAAUGGCUGACCUGCAUUUUGGAUGCCAUUGCUAAAAGCUUGGCCGCUGGGUGCUGAACUUCUAACUGUUCUAAAAUUGUUGCUGCAUCACUUGUAACGAAAAUCUUGUCAAUCUGAUUCACUAUUAGCUUAUUCAUUCCUAUCAAAUAAAAAAAUAUUUCCACGUUGCGUUUUAUUUUGUACUAGCUAUUUACGCUUCUUCUAACCCGGAAAAAUGUCUUCCACCAUCUUUUAGUAGAUUUAAAAAUCCUGGACGCGCCGCAAACUAUUCGAGAAACAUACACAAUCCAGACAGAAAGUGAGAGUUAAAAAUAACAUUGAUAAAAAAUCAUUACAUUUCCUAGGAUUAACUAACACUUACCAUAUCAAGGAAUACAAAAACCUUAUCCGACUGUCCCAAUUAGUCCCACAAGAAUGAUGAAGAGAAACAUUGCAUUAAAGAAUCCAUAUAACGCAUCCUCUUCUCAGUCAACGCAUAAUUCAACAAGGAAAAAACAUUAUAUUUG
Hylaeus volcanicus is the source of this 940-nucleotide long non-coding RNA. RefSeq lists it as uncharacterized. The transcript has 5 exons. NCBI's taxonomy places the organism in Eukaryota, Metazoa, Arthropoda, Insecta, Hymenoptera, Colletidae. The record is from RefSeq and is a predicted model, not a curated record.